UUGCUUCUUCGCUGACGAGUGGCGGACGGGUGAGUAAUGUCUGGGAAACUGCCUGAUGGAGGGGGAUAACUACUGGAAACGGUAGCUAAUACCGCAUAACGUCGCAAGACCAAAGAGGGGGACCUUCGGGCCUCUUGCCAUCGGAUGUGCCCAGAUGGGAUUAGCUAGUAGGUGGGGUAACGGCUCACCUAGGCGACGAUCCCUAGCUGGUCUGAGAGGAUGACCAGCCACACUGGAACUGAGACACGGUCCAGACUCCUACGGGAGGCAGCAGUGGGGAAUAUUGCACAAUGGGCGCAAGCCUGAUGCAGCCAUGCCGCGUGUAUGAAGAAGGCCUUCGGGUUGUAAAG
RNAcentral lists this ribosomal RNA (350 nucleotides) under uncultured bacterium. RNAcentral describes it as "bacterial SSU rRNA". It matches the Rfam family "Bacterial small subunit ribosomal RNA", at positions 74 to 430 of the family's 1533-position model. The record is from RNAcentral.